This 306-nucleotide small nuclear RNA is filed under the name Erinaceus europaeus (western European hedgehog). Its description in RNAcentral is "7SK RNA (ENSEEUG00000023299.1)". It matches the Rfam family "7SK RNA". From Rfam's summary of the family: 7SK was discovered as an abundant small nuclear RNA in the mid-70s but a possible function has only recently been suggested. Two independent studies have found that 7SK RNA binds the CDK9/cyclin T complex (known as elongation factor P-TEFb). Lineage: Eukaryota; Metazoa; Chordata; Mammalia; Eulipotyphla; Erinaceidae. The record is from RNAcentral.
AUAUAAGGGCGAUCUGUCACCCCAUUGACCACCAGGCUUGAUUUGGCUAAUCUGGCUAGCUUGGUGGGGGUCCCCUUAGCCCUCACCACUCUGUGAGUCCAUCCCAAAGCCGCGUGCUUCUCAGAAUAAAGAUGACCUGUCUUAGGCUGAGGGUUUACCAGUAGCUGCGCUCCCAUGCUAGAAUGUACAAACAAGCCCUGUCAAAGUGUAGCGCUAUGUGCAGGGACUGUGCAGGGCAUGGUGCUAGGUGUAUUAUAUUCUGCGUACUUGGUUUUUCUGCGUACUUGGUUUUAGACGCAAAAGCAA